UGAUUGGUGACGCUUUAUUGCAUUGCCUCUCUGUCUCUCUUUCUUGCCCCACCCACCCACACGCACACACACGCGCGCCUGUUUCAUUGCCCUCCCCUUUCCUUCGUUGGUUUCAUUUGGCUUCGGCCUAUCGCGGUUUCUUUGCCUAUACACUCUCUACUCACCCGCGCGCCCAGCAACGGUCCACUCUACCACCGGCCCCUUACGCGCACAACAACAGCAACACCGACAGGCAGACAGACGCCCACACAGGACCCCCCCGUAUCCGCUCUCACAGGUACACCGUAGAGAGAAGGCACCGACAGUACUUCCUUUUUUUUUCGCUUCUUCUGUCGCGCUGCACAUUGCGUGCGCAGGCCAAGGGAUCAGUUGCGCUUUCGACCAAGAAGCUGUUGCUAUCUGGUUUUCGCUCUUCACACAGUCCUCUAUCUACGCAGACAGCCACCAAACUGAAAGACUGCCGUUACAGUGCUUCGUGGCGAAAGAAGAUAACACGUCAAUGUCGUCCCCGCCACCGCCGCGUAAUAUCGAGGAGGACCUCCACAAGAAUGAGGAGGAGAAGCCCGCGCCGGAGUUGGACGAUGCCGACAUCCCGGUAGACCCGUUGCUCACGCUGCUGUAUAUCCGUCACACGCUGACUUCGCCGUGGAGCUCCUCCGAGGAGCGAGAGACGGCCAAGGCGGCGAUGAUGGAGGAGAUGGAGAAGCACAACAUGGCGCCCUACAUCCGCUUAGUCUGCGAGGCUCUCGGGGUCCCGCUCGAUGAGUCGAAGUUGGCAGAGAUGGACGCCAUCAACGCCAAGAAGGUGGCCGCCUUCGACGCGCGGCUGAAGGAUGCGGUCGACAACCUCGGCGACACGGAGGUGCGCGAUGUGCUACAGGCCAAGUGCGAUCACUACGCCCGCAUUGGAGACCUCGAGAUGUGCAUGAAGACGAACGAGGAGUGCGCCGCCAAGACGCUCGCGACAGGCCCGAAGCUGGACCUGUACUUCCAGCGCAUUCGUCUCGGCAUUGCCUUUUCCGACAACGACAUUGCCGCCAAGGGAAUCACGGACGCACAUCGUCUCAUGAAAGACGGCGACUGGGAGCGCCGCAACCGCCUGCGUGUGUACGAGGGCAUCUAUCACGUGUUUAUUCGCGACUUCCAGCGUGGGUCCGCGCUGCUGCUCGACUCCAUCACGACGUUUGCGGCUGGCGAGCUUCUGACGUUUCAGGACUUCGUUUUCAUUACCGUAGUCGCAAGCCUCCCGGUCCUCAGCCGACCGGAGCUGCGCAAGCGUAUCGUGUAUAGCCCCGAGGUUAACCGCACCGGCGUCGACGAUGUGCGGGAGUUGGUGAACUCGAUCUACGACUGUCAAUACAACAAGGUGUUCCCCAAUCUGGAGGUGGUGUGCCAGCAUCUGCGCAAGGUCGUCUACCUCUCUCCGCACGUCAGCUACUUCUUCCGCGAGAUGCGGGUGCUCGUCUUCACGCAGUUCCUGGAUUCAUACAGCAGUGUCACGCUGGAGUCGAUGGGUGCGGCCUUCGGUAUUCCGGUGCCGGCGCUGGACAGCAUGUUGUGCACGCUGAUCUCCAACGAGCGUAUCGCGUGCAAAGUGGACCGCGUCGACGGCAGUGUCGAGACAUACCGCGGCGACACAACGAACUUCGACUACCAUCGCAUUGUGAAGAGCGGCGACCUGCUACUGAACCGCAUUCAGAAGCUCUCUCGUCUGGUGGACAUGUAGAGAAGGCGCGCUGUCGUGCUGCGUGUCGCAUUCGUGUCUGUUGGGUCCGAUUCAGAUACGCGUGCGCCUGUGUGGUGAUGUGCAGAAGAUGUUUGUAGCCGUGUGCGUGUGUGCGGCUGGCAGAGAACGGAGGCUGGGAAGACGAGGUGCCCGCAGGUGGAAUGUGGUUUGAAAGUGGACAGAGGUCGUUAGGGACUGGGCAGGAGGGGGAGGGGCGAGAGGACGGAAGACAUAUACGGCCGCUUGACAGCGAAUGCGAAGGUGCGUUGCUCCGGGGCGAGCCUUGGAAGACGUUGACACACACACACACACACACACACACACACAAACUCGACAAGGGAUGCCCGAGGUGCCAGCUAGCUCUCCACCUCCCUUCUGUUAUCACCCGCCCUGUCUCACAUCACCGUCUCACCAGCAUCCGUGAACCUUUCCUCCGGUGCCAACACAUCGUCUCGUGCCUUUUCCCUUUCUCUUGCGUGCCUCACUCUUGUUGUCUACAUGCUAAACAAGCACAGCGGUAUGCUGGAAGGAGAGAAAGGGAGAUGAUGAGGAGGAAAGCGGAAGAGAGGUGGCACGCACGGCUGUGCCAGCUUGUCCCCCUGCUGCCCUUAUCAUCUCCCUUUCUAUUUCGUUUUUGGUUUCCGUUUUGUUUGUCGAGUUAAUGUGCGUGGCUGGCGCCUGCGUAUGUCGUAGAGGGCCCAACAGGUGUUGAAUCGAAAGUACUUAUUAACGGAGACACGAGGUGAGGGGCGGUGUGGCGGUGGUGAUGGGGAAGCGACGAGGAGACGGACGAGGGUAACGAGAAGGAUGCCCUGCAACGGCGUCUUGCGUGCAGUGCCGAGUGGGCCUGGUGCCUCUCCCUCAUCUUGCAUGUCCUCAUCAUCUCAGUGGCGCUCACUCUCUCUCGCUGCGUGUGUGCAGUGGGUCUGCCUCGAUUCCGCUCGCCGUCCAUCUGCGGUGAAGGCGAGCAGGAAGUAUGGCACACACCUGAACACCCGCUACGCAGCACUCUUUGCGAGUGCUUACGGAGGGUUUUUUUUUUUGGCACGACGUGUGCGGUCUGAAGGCACCGACGGUGUCGAUGCCGUCUCCCCUCCACUGCUACUUCUUCGUACACGUACCAAUGUGUGCGUAUACGGUAUGGUGCACGUGCAUGUCUGUGGACGUCUAAAUCCCUCCCUCUCUCGCUGUUCACUCGUUACGUCCCGCUCCGGUGCCGCCUCUUCGCCUUCGUUCCUGUACACCGCCCAUUCCCUCGCGUUCGGCCGGUGCACGGCGUGCACACACACGCGCGCCUCUCUGUCUCUGUCUCUCCUUCUCUCUCUCCGCCUUCUCUACAUGAAG
Molecule: unclassified non-coding RNA, 3070 nt
Filed under: Leishmania donovani
Lineage: Eukaryota; Euglenozoa; Kinetoplastea; Trypanosomatida; Trypanosomatidae
Description: gene:LdHU3.32.3740(CDS-product:proteasome_regulat ory_non-ATP-ase_subunit_putative)
Source: RNAcentral